RNAcentral lists this ribosomal RNA (314 nucleotides) under uncultured bacterium. RNAcentral's name for it is "partial 16S ribosomal RNA". It matches the Rfam family "Bacterial small subunit ribosomal RNA", at positions 495 to 809 of the family's 1533-position model. The record is from RNAcentral.
GUAUAAGAGACAGCAGCCGCCGCGGUAAUACAGAGGGUGCGAGCGUUAAUCGGAUUUACUGGGCGUAAAGCGUGCGUAGGCGGCUUCUUAAGUCGGAUGUGAAAUCCCUGAGCUUAACUUAGGAAUUGCAUUCGAUACUGGGAAGCUAGAGUAUGGGAGAGGAUGGUAGAAUUCCAGGUGUAGCGGUGAAAUGCGUAGAGAUCUGGAGGAAUACCGAUGGCGAAGGCAGCCAUCUGGCCUAAUACUGACGCUGAGGUACGAAAGCAUGGGGAGCAAACAGGAUUAGAGACCCCAGUAGUCCCUGUCUCUUAUAA